RNAcentral lists this ribosomal RNA (468 nucleotides) under uncultured bacterium. RNAcentral's name for it is "partial 16S ribosomal RNA". It matches the Rfam family "Bacterial small subunit ribosomal RNA", at positions 28 to 507 of the family's 1533-position model. The record is from RNAcentral.
GACGAACGCUGGCGGCGUGCUUAACACAUGCAAGUCGAACGGAAAGGCCCUGCUUUUGUGGGGUGCUCGAGUGGCGAACGGGUGAGUAACACGUGAGUAACCUGCCCUUGACUUUGGGAUAACUUCAGGAAACUGGGGCUAAUACCGGAUAGGAGCUCCUGCUGCAUGGUGGUGGUUGGAAAGUUUCGGCGGUUGGGUAUGGACUCGCGGCUUAUCAGCUUGUUGGUGGGGUAGUGGCUGACCAAGGCUUUCACGGGUAGCCGGCCUGAGAGGGUGACCGGCCACAUUGGGACUGAGAUACGGCCCAGACUCCUACGGGAGGCAGCAGUGGGGAAUAUUGCACAAUGGGCGGAAGCCUGAUGCAGCAACGCCGCGUGCGGGAUGACGGCCUUCGGGUUGUAAACCGCUUUCGCCUGUGACGAAGCGUGAGUGACGGUAAUGGGUAAAGAAGCACCGGCUAACUACGUG